This 66-nucleotide transfer RNA is filed under the name Sisyra aurorae. Its description in RNAcentral is "tRNA-Phe". It matches the Rfam family "tRNA". From Rfam's summary of the family: Transfer RNA (tRNA) molecules are approximately 80 nucleotides in length. The record is from RNAcentral. Lineage: Eukaryota; Metazoa; Arthropoda; Insecta; Neuroptera; Sisyridae.
AUUUAAAUAGCUUAAUAAUAGAGCGUAGUAUUGAAGAUACUAAAGUGAUUGUCUAAUCUUUAAAUA